RNAcentral lists this ribosomal RNA (253 nucleotides) under uncultured bacterium. Its description in RNAcentral is "partial 16S ribosomal RNA". It matches the Rfam family "Bacterial small subunit ribosomal RNA", at positions 524 to 776 of the family's 1533-position model. The record is from RNAcentral.
UACGUAGGGUGCAAGCGUUUGUCCGGAAUUAUUGGGCGUAAAGAGCUCGUAGGCGGUCUGUCACGUCGGCUGUGAAAUCCCGAGGCUCAACCUCGGGUCUGCAGUCGAUACGGGCAAACUAGAGUAUUGCAGGGGAGACUGGAAUUCCUGGUGUAGCGGUGAAAUGCGCAGAUAUCAGGAGGAACACCGGUGGCGAAGGCGGGUCUCUGGGCAGUAACUGACGCUGAGGAACGAAAGCGUGGGUGCGAACAGG